UACGGAGGGAGCUAGCGUUGUUCGGAAUUACUGGGCGUAAAGCGCGCGUAGGCGGUCUGUUGCGUCGGCUGUGAAAACCCGGGGCUCAACUCCGGGCCUGCAGCCGAUACGGGCAGACUAGAGUUCGGCAGGGGAGACUGGAAUUCCUGGUGUAGCGGUGAAAUGCGCAGAUAUCAGGAGGAACACCGAUGGCGAAGGCAGCUCGCUGGGACGGUACUGACGCUGAGGAGCGAAAGCGUGGGGAGCGAACAGG
Molecule: ribosomal RNA, 253 nt
Filed under: uncultured bacterium
Lineage: Bacteria
Description: partial 16S ribosomal RNA
Rfam family: Bacterial small subunit ribosomal RNA
Source: RNAcentral